AGCCCCAUAGUGUAGUGGUUAGCACCUCAGGCUCUGAAUCUGAAGACUCCAGUUCGAAUCUGGAUGGGGCUG
RNAcentral lists this transfer RNA (72 nucleotides) under Candidatus Heimdallarchaeota archaeon B3_Heim. Its description in RNAcentral is "Candidatus Heimdallarchaeota archaeon B3-JM-08 tRNA-Gln". It matches the Rfam family "tRNA". From Rfam's summary of the family: Transfer RNA (tRNA) molecules are approximately 80 nucleotides in length. Their secondary structure includes four short double-helical elements and three loops (D, anti-codon, and T loops). The record is from RNAcentral. RNAcentral also lists the same sequence under 1 other name. Lineage: Archaea; Promethearchaeati; Candidatus Heimdallarchaeota.